CGGAGGAAAAGAAACUAACAAGGAUUCCCCCAGUAACGGCGAGUGAAGCGGAAGAGCUCAAGCUUAAAAUCUCCAUGUUUACAUGGCGAAUUGUAGUCUAUUGAGGCUGUUGUCAGCAUAGCGAUUUGGGAUAAGUCCCUUGGAAAAGGGCAGCAUAGAGGGUGAUACUCCCGUCUUUGCUCAGAUUGUCUAUGUGUACGAUACGCUUUCUUUGAGUCGAGUUGUUUGGGAAUACAGCUCAAAGUAGGUGGUAAAUUCCAUCUAAAGCUAAAUAUUGGUGCGAGACCGAUAGCGAACAAGUACCGUGAGGGAAAGAUGAAAAGAACUUUGAAAAGAGAGUUAAAGAGUACCUGAAACUGUUGAAAGGGAACCGUAACAUGUCCAGUGUUGUAUCUUGUGCAUAUUUCAUUAGUGGAGCAAUUUACUGGUGCCCUGUGCAUGAGUGUGACGUCAAAGUCAGUUUGUAUGCUGCGGGAGAUGGUUAGCAAGGAGGUGCGUCACUUUUGUGUCAGUUAUACCUUGUUAUCUAGUAGCCGUGGUUGAGACUGAGGUGCCUACAACAUGCUUAUAGAGUAUAUUGUUGUCUCGUUGUUAUAUCUGUUUGGAUAGCUUGCUAUGCUGAUGGUCUAUAGUGGCGAUUGAUGAUGGUAUUAACUUUUUGCUGUUCGGGACUUU
RNAcentral lists this ribosomal RNA (675 nucleotides) under Achlya aquatica. RNAcentral describes it as "LSU rRNA". It matches the Rfam family "Eukaryotic large subunit ribosomal RNA", at positions 51 to 626 of the family's 3401-position model. The record is from RNAcentral. Lineage: Eukaryota; Oomycota; Saprolegniomycetes; Saprolegniales; Achlyaceae.